Molecule: long non-coding RNA, 1254 nt
Organism: Saccostrea echinata
Lineage: Eukaryota; Metazoa; Mollusca; Bivalvia; Ostreida; Ostreidae
Exons: 2
Source: RefSeq, a predicted model, not a curated record
ACCAUGGGUACUAAAAAUUAAAAUUUUCGUGAGAUUAUUCCAAGCAAUAUAUUACUCUAAUGUUUUUGUUUGACUUUUUAUCAUAAGUACAAACCAGACUUGUUAAAACACAUUGUGGUAAAAUAAGCAUAAAAAAUUGAAUGAUGCUCUUUUUUCACAAACAUCUUUGAUAAUGGGGUGAAUUUUAUUCAUGCCGAACAAGUUACAAGAAAAGUUAACUUAAAUUAUUAACUUGUUCAAAUGAUACAUGUACAUGUAGUUAUGAUUUAUAUUAGCAAUAUUCAAAGCUUAUUUCUCUUUUCAUUUGAUUUAGGUUCCCUUUACAGCCUACAAUCUAUGGUUUUGAUAGACCUGUUUGGUAUUGACAGAUUAGUAACCAGUUAUGGCGUGAUCAAUUUAAGUUUUGGAGUCGGAUCUUUGAUGGCCGGUCCAGCGACAAGUGCUUUGUCUGUGCUAGUGGAUGACGCCGACUUUCCUUUCUAUACCGCUGGAGUAAUGAUGGCCUUGGGUGCCGUGUCCUUGGGCUUCACUAAAUGUUCUUGUAAAAGACUGAAAUCAACACCACAGAGUGAUUUGGAGUCUUCUGACUUGAGUGCGAUCUUCGUCAUUAGUCACACACCUACUAUCGGGGCACCUGCUGCUUAAAAAUAGAAAGAUCAUCGCUCGCUGCUUUCAGUCAAUCUGGAUACAUAAUAGUUCCGAAAUAAACUUUGUUGCUUUGCUUUUGAUAUCCAGGUCAAACUUUUUUCAUCUAGAUUCAUUUGAUUUUUUGGACAAAAUUGGGUGAGACUCCAAAGUUUGCUUUUCAAAAGAAAAAAAAUCUACACAAAAAGAUCCUUUAUAUUUUAAAAGAUAUGAAACUUAAAUACUAUUGAGACCAUACAAAGUAAAUCUAGUUACUUCUAUAGCUAAUGUUGGUAAUUUUCUGCGAUUUUUGCGAGUCUCAUGAAUUUGCAAAACCUUUGUUCUUAAAAAGCAUGCUAAGUGCACUUUUUUGAUAAUGCAUUUGCUCUUGGGUUUAUAGAAUGUUAAGGAAUUGAAUCUUUAUAUUUAGAUUAUCAUUAUUAUUCACAAUAUAAACAGAGACCAGGAAUUAGUAGUAAUAUGUUAAUUUUCAAUCAAUGAUUUUUAUUAUGAUUACAAAAAGAAAAUGAUGGCAUAUACCUACAAUGUAACACUUAAGUCUUAUUCCGAUAUAACUUUAACUAUUGUUAUGUAUAUUCUUUUGGGGGUGCAAUAAAUUUGAUCAAUAAU